AUGGGCUUUCUCCAUGUUGGUCAGGCUGGUCUCAAACUCCUGACCUUAGGUGAUCUGCCUGCCUUGGCCUCCAAAAGUGCUGGGAUUACAGGUGUGAGCCAUGGUACCCGCCCACUUAAUCUUCUAAGUUGCCAUCUCCAUUGCUAGUUUAUUCCCACUUUUGGACCACUCUUUUUUUUUGAGAUGGAGUCUUGCUCUGUUGCCCAGGCUGGAGUGUAGUGGCACAAUCUCAGCUCACUGUAACCGCUGCUUCCCGGGUUCGAGCGAUUCUCCUGCCUCAGCCUCCCGAGCAGCUGGGAUUACAGGUGCGUACCACCACGCCUGGCUAAUUUUUGUAUUUUUAGUAGAGAGGGGGUUUCACCAUGUUGGCCAGGCUGGUCUUGAACUCCUGAACUCAAGCAAUCCACUCGGCUUGGCCUCCCAAAGUGCUGAGAUUACAGGCAUGAGCCACCGCGUGCAGCCUUGGACCACUCUUAAAACAUAAAUUAUAGCUCUGAUCAUGUCAUUCUUCUAUUUAAAAUCUGUCAAUUAAUUCCAUAGUCCACCAAAU
Molecule: long non-coding RNA, 550 nt
Filed under: Homo sapiens (human)
Lineage: Eukaryota; Metazoa; Chordata; Mammalia; Primates; Hominidae
Description: HSALNT0020025
Source: RNAcentral